Molecule: transfer RNA, 66 nt
Filed under: Pseudomonas sp. FeN3W
Lineage: Bacteria; Pseudomonadati; Pseudomonadota; Gammaproteobacteria; Pseudomonadales; Pseudomonadaceae
Description: tRNA-Cys
Source: RNAcentral
UGUAGCUCAGUCUGGUAGAGCAGGGGCCGCAAGCUCUGUGUCGGUGGUUCAAAUCCAUUCAUGUAU